AAGACUAUAGACCUGCGGAGUACCUGCGGAGGGAUCAUUACAGAGUUUUCUAACUCCCAAACCCAUGUGAACUUACCAUUGUUGCCUCGGCGGAGCCUACCCUGUAGCUACCCUAUAAGGUGGUUACCCUGUAGCGCCCCGCCGGUGGAUUUUCAAACUCUUGUUAUUUUUAGUAAUCUGAGAGUCUUAUUUUAAAUAAGUCAAAACUUUUAACAAUGGAUCUCUAGAUCGGAAGAGCAC
This 240-nucleotide unclassified non-coding RNA is filed under the name soil metagenome. RNAcentral describes it as "partial contains 5.8S ribosomal RNA, internal transcribed spacer 2, and large subunit ribosomal RNA". The record is from RNAcentral.